RNAcentral lists this ribosomal RNA (489 nucleotides) under uncultured bacterium. RNAcentral describes it as "partial 16S ribosomal RNA". It matches the Rfam family "Bacterial small subunit ribosomal RNA", at positions 30 to 506 of the family's 1533-position model. The record is from RNAcentral.
AUUGAACGCUGGCGGCAGGCCUAACACAUGCAAGUCGAACGGUAACAGAAAGCAGCUUGCUGCUUUGCUGACGAGUGGCGGACGGGUGAGUAAUGUCUGGGAAACUGCCUGAUGGAGGGGGAUAACUACUGGAAACGGUAGCUAAUACCGCAUAACGUCGCAAGACCAAAGAGGGGGACCUUCGGGCCUCUUGCCAUCGGAUGUGCCCAGAUGGGAUUAGCUAGUAGGUGGGGUAAAGGCUCACCUAGGCGACGAUCCCUAGCUGGUCUGAGAGGAUGACCAGCCACACUGGAACUGAGACACGGUCCAGACUCCGACGGGAGGCAGCAGUGGGGAAUAUUGCACAAUGGGCGCAAGCCUGAUGCAGCCAUGCCGCGUGUGUGAAGAAGGCCUUCGGGUUGUAAAGUACUUUCAGCGGGGAGGAAGGGAGUAAAGUUAAUACCUUUGCUCAUUGACGUUACCCGCAGAAGAAGCACCGGCUAACUCCGG